RNAcentral lists this ribosomal RNA (450 nucleotides) under uncultured bacterium. RNAcentral describes it as "bacterial SSU rRNA". It matches the Rfam family "Bacterial small subunit ribosomal RNA", at positions 329 to 794 of the family's 1533-position model. The record is from RNAcentral.
ACCCAGACUCCUACGGGAGGCAGCAGUGGGGAAUAUUGGGCAAUGGGCGCAAGCCUGACCCAGCAACGCCGCGUGAAGGAAGAAGGCUUUCGGGUUGUAAACUUCUUUUAAGAGGGAAGAGUAGAAGACGGUACCUCUUGAAUAAGCCACGGCUAACUACGUGCCAGCAGCCGCGGUAAUACGUAGGGAGCGAGCGUUGUCCGGAAUUACUGGGCGUAAAGGGCGCGUAGGCGGGAACGUAAGUUAGAUGUGAAAACUCCGGGCUUAACCUGGAGACUGCAUUUAAAACUGGGUUUCUUGAGGGCAGGAGAGGAAAGUGGAAUUCCUAGUGUAGCGGUGAAAUGCGUAGAUAUACGGAGGAACACCAGUGGCGAAGGCGGAUUGCUGGACAGUAACUGACGCUGAGGCGCGAAAGCGUGGGGAGCAAACAGGAUUAGAUACCCCUGUACA